UGGGGAAUUUUGGACAAUGGGCGCAAGCCUGAUCCAGCCAUUCCGCGUGAGUGAAGAAGGCCUUCGGUUGUAAGCUCUUCGCAAGGAAGAAACUUAACAUUCUAAUAAAGUAGUGAGGCUGACGGUACCUUGAUAAGAAGCACCGGCUAACUACGUGCCAGCAGCCGCGGUAAUACGUAGGGUGCGAGCGUUAAUCGGAAUUACUGGGCGUAAAGCGUGCGCAGGCGGUUUUGUAAGUCAGAUGUGAAAUCCCCGAGCUCAACUUGGGAACUGCGUUUGAAACUACAAGACUAGAAUAUGUCAGAGGGGGGUAGAAUUCCACGUGUAGCAGUGAAAUGCGUAGAGAUGUGGAGGAAUACCAAUGGCGAAGGCAGCCCCCCUGGGAUAAUAUUGACGCUCAUGCACGAAAGCGUGGGGAGCAAACAGGAUUAGAUACCCUGGUA
RNAcentral lists this ribosomal RNA (443 nucleotides) under uncultured bacterium. Its description in RNAcentral is "bacterial SSU rRNA". It matches the Rfam family "Bacterial small subunit ribosomal RNA", at positions 355 to 792 of the family's 1533-position model. The record is from RNAcentral.